RNAcentral lists this ribosomal RNA (1884 nucleotides) under uncultured archaeon. RNAcentral describes it as "23S ribosomal RNA (partial)". It matches the Rfam family "Archaeal large subunit ribosomal RNA", at positions 16 to 1960 of the family's 2987-position model. The record is from RNAcentral.
UCGCGCCACUUAGUGGAUGCCUAGGCUUAUGCCCGCACAGUCACGCGGCAAGCUGCGAUAAUCUCCGGGUAGCCGCAUGCAGGCUUUGAUCCGGAGGUCUGACUGAGUACUUUCCGGGCAACUGGGAAGUGCAACAACUCUCUGAAAUGAAGCGUCUUAGUAGGAGAUGGAAGAGAAAUCAAUUGAGAUCCGGUUAGUAACACGAGUGAAAGCCGGACAGACCGUUCCGAAUUCCGUUGCAGUAAUGUGACGGCAGAUGUGGUGGGGUUAGUACUAUCCUUUUUCAGACUCGAAGUCGGCUGGAAUGCCGUGCCAUAGCGGGUGAUAGCCCCGUAGGGUAAUGGGAAAGGAGGGAACCUAAUGAGUAGUGUCCUCUUGAUUGGGGGCAUGAAUAUGGGGGUAUCAACCUCCAAGUCUAAACAUGUGGCAUAAGACCGAUAGCGUAUUCAGUAGCGCGAGCAAAUGGUGAAAAGCACUGGGGAACCAGUGUGAAAAGACCUGAAACUAAGUGGCUACAACAUGGCGAGGCAGAUAAGGAUAGGAUCGUGGAAGUGAAUGCUGGCAACGGCAGGAACGACACGAUUUAACCGUUGUCUCGUCUUUCUUCUCGAAGCAAGAGCCAGGGAGUUUACAUGCGUGGCGAGGCGAAAGCCGAAGGGAAACCGAGAGUCCGCAGCACCGCAAGGUGUAAGGGACGUCGUGGUAACUCGCGAUCAGUCACUCAUGUAAGACCCGAAGCCGUUGUGAUCUACGCCCGAGCAGGAUGAAGUUGGCUUGACGGCCAAUGGAGGUCCGCAACUAUUGGUGGUAUAUUCCCUUUAGGUGACUUGGGUGUAGGGGUGAUAGUCCUGUCGAACACGGCAAUAGCGAGUUCUCUCCUAAAUGUGUCUCAGCACAGCGUCCAUUGAGGAUGAUGAAGAGGUAGAGCACUGAAUAGGCGGAGCGGUUCCGAAAGGGAUCACCGUCUUUUCAAACUCCGAAUGCUUCAUCUCAGUCGAAAUGGGCACUUGGGUUUGCGGGGUAAGCUUGUAGACCUAUUCGGGAUUGACCGUACGUUGGGUUAAGGGCCCUAAAUGCUGGUUAAGUGUGAACUGCAAAGGAGUCUCUAUUCAAAGACAGUCGGGAGGUAGGCUUAGAAGCAGCCAUCCUUUAAACAACGCGUAAUAGCGGACCGGCCGAGAGUGCAGAUUCUGAAGAUUCACGGGGCUAAACCAGCUUCCGAUACCCAACCCAGGCGAAAGCCUAUGGGGUAGGAGAGCGAACGGAUAGCGCAGAAGUAGGGUUGUGAAAUCCUAUGGAGCUUUCUGUUAUGAAUAUCCUGGUGUUAGUAACAGCAAUAUCUAGGUGAGAAUCCUGGACAUCUUAUAGAGCAAGGUUUCCUCGGCAACGUUUGUCAGCCGAGGGUUAGGCGAUCCUAAGUGGAGAAGUAAUUCUUUCUUCGCGAAAUCAGGGAAGCUGGUUAAUAUUCCAGCCCCACAGAGGUAGGUGCCGCAAGGCAAGCCAUCUUUCUGACGCGUUUGGAUAUAUGAAGCGGCUACGGCCGUCUGAUGGGUAUAACUCUCCGGAGUCUUAUUAUGAGGAGAAGGAGAUUAAGCCCCGAAGGGAAACUUCGUCGAAUCCAGGGGCCCAUGAAAAAGAAGAUGGAACGAUCCUUUGUGUCCGUACCAAGAACCAGUACAGGUGCUCUAGCUGAGAAGGCUAAGAUGUGGCAGGGGAACUCGGGUAAGGGAACUCGGCAAGUUAGCCCCGUAUCUUCGGUAUAAGGGGUGCCUGUGCUUGGAUAAAGCGCAGGUUGCAAUGACAAGGGGAGUCCGACUGUUUAUUAAAAACACAGGUGACUGCUAGUCCGCUAGGAUGAGUAUAGUCGCUGACUUCUGCUCACUG